UUACUUGGUGUUCUUUGCUUAUCCACAGAGCAGGUCCAGCACAGGCAGCAGUAAUGUAAGCCUCCCACAAACUGACUAACAUGCACCAACUAUGACCUGGAGGGACCACCAGGAGGGUUGAGAUGGCAACUUUCAGUAUUUAUGAGCACAC
Molecule: small RNA, 151 nt
Filed under: Gopherus agassizii (Agassiz's desert tortoise)
Lineage: Eukaryota; Metazoa; Chordata; Testudines; Testudinidae
Description: TUC338 (ENSGAGG00000009224.1)
Source: RNAcentral